Molecule: ribosomal RNA, 1510 nt
Filed under: uncultured prokaryote
Description: partial 16S ribosomal RNA
Rfam family: Bacterial small subunit ribosomal RNA
Source: RNAcentral
GAACGAACGCUGGCAGCGUGGAUUAGGCAUGCAAGUCGAACGGGACCCAUCGGUUCAAUUCUUCGGAAGAGAACGGGUGGGGGAGAGUGGCAAAAGGGUGAGUAACGCGUGGGUAACCUACCCUCGAGUUGGGGAUAACCCUGCGAAAGUGGGGCUAAUACCGAAUGUGAUUCUUCCGUCCAGGCGGAAGUAAUCAAAGGCGGGGACCUUUCGGGGCCUGUCGCUUGAGGCUGGGCCCGCGUCCCAUCAGCUUGUUGGUGAGGUAACGGCUCACCAAGGCUUACGGCUAGCUGGUCUGAGAGGAUGAUCAGCCACACUGGGACUGAGACACUGCCCAGACUCCUACGGGAGGCUGCAGUCGAGGAUCAUUCGCAAUGCGCGAAAGCGUGACGAUGCGACGCUGCGUGGAGGAUGAAGGCCUUAGGGUCGUAAACUCCUGUCAUUCGGGAAAAAUUGUCCCCGCACUAACAUUGCGGGGGCGUGAUGGUACCUCAAGAGGAAGCCACGGCUAACUCUGUGCCAGCAGCCGCGGUAAUACAGAGGUGGCGAGCGUUGUUCGGAUUUACUGGGCGUAAAGGGUGCGUAGGUGGUUUUGUGUGUCGGAUGUGAAAGCCCAGGGCUCAACCCUGGAAGUGCAUCCGAAACUGCAAGACUAGAGUACAGGAGAGGAGAGCGGAAUUCUUGGUGUAGCGGUGAAAUGCGUUGAUAUCAAGAAGAACAUCGGAGGCGAAGGCGGCUCUCUGGAAUGUUACUGACACUGAGGCACGAAAGUUGGGGGAGCGAAGAGGAUUAGAUACCCUCGUAGUCCCAACCGUAAACGGUGUCGACUUGGUGUGAGGGGUAUUGACCCCCCCCGUGCCGGAGCUAACGCGUUAAGUCGACCGCCUGGGGAGUACGGCCGCAAGGUUAAAACUCAAAGAAAUUGACGGGGGCCCGCACAAGCGGAGGAGCAUGUGGCUUAAUUCGAUGCAACGCGAAGAACCUUACCAGGGCUUGACAUGGGGACCCUUCGGGGGUGGUAGCGAAAGUUACCUUUACGAUCACAGGUGCUGCAUGGCUGUCGUCAGUUCGUGCCGUGAGGUGUUGGGUUAAGUCCCGCAACGAACGCAACCCUUGUGUUUAGUUGCCACCGCAGGUGAUAAACCUGCGAGCACUCUAGACAGACUGCCCGUACAAGCGGGAGGAAGGUGGGGACGACGUCAAGUCAGUAUGGCCCUUACGCCCUGGGCUGCACACGUGCUACAAUGGCCAGUACAGAGGGAAGCAAUAUCGCGAGAUGGAGCAAAUCCCCAAAACUGGCCCCAGUUCGGAUUGGAGUCUGCAACUCGACUCCAUGAAGUUGGAUUCGCUAGUAACGGCGUAUCAGCUACGGCGCCGUGAAUACGUUCCCGGGCCUUGUACACACCGCCCGUCACAUCAUGAAAGCCGUCUGCACCCGAAGUCGCUGAGCUAACCCGCAAGGAGAUGGAAGGCAGGCGCCGAAGGUGUGGGUGGUGAUUGGGAUGAAGUC